Molecule: long non-coding RNA, 604 nt
Organism: Parasteatoda tepidariorum (common house spider)
Lineage: Eukaryota; Metazoa; Arthropoda; Arachnida; Araneae; Theridiidae
Source: RefSeq, a predicted model, not a curated record
UUAGAAACUUUAUAUUUUUUAAAAAAAAAGAUCCAUGUCAAAAAUGAACUUGUUUAUAUUUCUGGCUGAAAUUAUAGGCUGAUCAAAGAGUCGACUUCAGUUACUUUACGUCACAGAAGCUCUAUGAUUGGACAAAUGAAGAGAUUUUCUAACGAAAAUGUGGUGGCAACAUUGUACCCAAAAAAAUGUAAACACCCUGUACGAAUCAAUAAUAAAGUCGAUUAAAGAAGGACCAGAAGGUAUACCACCUGAACGAUCCUCACCACAUGAUGAAGGGGUAGGGGUAAAGGACCACUUCGGCCUCAGGCAACCCGGCCAGCCGAUAUGACUGCGAUGCCGAACCACACAUUCUACCAUGACCAGAUAACGCGAAGAGUCAAUUUUUUCUUUUCUCUAUUUUUCCAACGCCCUGAAUGUAGCGAUGAUGCACCAAGGCGGCUUUCCGGCUGUCAACGAGGCUAUAUUCUCACCAUCAAGAGCAUGCUGUAAUAUUUUUUCUUGAAUUUGCAACCUUCCCCACUGCUAUUCUUUUGGAGUGAAAAUAUUUAAAAGAAAAUCCUGCUGGACCUCUGAUAAUAGCGAUUAAAAUGGUUCUUAAAUAACA